This is a long non-coding RNA of Lolium rigidum, 286 nucleotides long. RefSeq lists it as uncharacterized. The transcript has 3 exons. Lineage: Eukaryota; Viridiplantae; Streptophyta; Magnoliopsida; Poales; Poaceae. The record is from RefSeq and is a predicted model, not a curated record.
GCCAGCCGCACCAGUGCCUGCCUCGCCGACGCCGCACGACCUGGCCGGUACCCAGGAGUCGUGAACUUGAUGGUGAACUGCCAGUCGACAGCUGAGUUCGAGGCUGCGAGCGUUUCUGCGAUAUUGAGACAUCAAGAUGUGAACCCCUAGCUACAAAUGGGAAUGAAUCUGAGAUUGAAGCGGAGAUACAUUCUUUGCUGAUACUCUAUCCAUCCGUGUUUCUUUCCACGCUGAUGCUCUCAGAUCCGAUCCUUCCAAUGAAGAAAUGACAUCUUCAUGAGGAUGA